AGGCAGCACUGGGGAAUCUUGGACAAUGGGCGCAAGCCUGAUCCAGCCAUGCCGCGUGUGUGAUGAAGGCCUUAGGGUCGUAAAGCACUUUCGCCAGAGAUGAUAAUGACAGUAUCUGGUAAAGAAACCCCGGCUAACUCCGUGCCAGCAGCCGCGGUAAUACGGAGGGGGUUAGCGUUGUUCGGAAUUACUGGGCGUAAAGCGCACGUAGGCGGAUUAGUCAGUCAGAGGUGAAAUCCCAGGGCUCAACCCUGGAACUGCCUUUGAUACUGCUAGUCUUGAGUUCGAGAGAGGUGAGUGGAAUUCCGAGUGUAGAGGUGAAAUUCGUAGAUAUUCGGAGGAACACCAGUGGCGAAGGCGGCUCACUGGCUCGAUACUGACGCUGAGGUGCGAAAGUGUGGGGAGCAAACAGGAUUAGAUACCCUGGUAGUCCACACCGUAAACGAUGAAUGCCAGUCGUCGGGCAGUAUACUGUUCGGUGACACACCUAACGGAUUAAGCAUUCCGCCUGGGGAGUACGGUCGCAAGAUUAAAACUCAAAUGAAUUGAC
RNAcentral lists this ribosomal RNA (550 nucleotides) under uncultured Alphaproteobacteria bacterium. Its description in RNAcentral is "bacterial SSU rRNA". It matches the Rfam family "Bacterial small subunit ribosomal RNA", at positions 346 to 914 of the family's 1533-position model. The record is from RNAcentral. Lineage: Bacteria; Pseudomonadati; Pseudomonadota; Alphaproteobacteria.